RNAcentral lists this ribosomal RNA (159 nucleotides) under Thelonectria westlandica. RNAcentral describes it as "partial large subunit ribosomal RNA". It matches the Rfam family "Eukaryotic large subunit ribosomal RNA", at positions 99 to 261 of the family's 3401-position model. Lineage: Eukaryota; Fungi; Ascomycota; Sordariomycetes; Hypocreales; Nectriaceae. The record is from RNAcentral.
CGGCAACAGCUCAAAUUUGAAAUCUGGCCCCCGGGUCCGAGUUGUAAUUUGUAGAGGAUGCUUUUGGCGCGGUGCCUUCCGAGUUCCCUGGAACGGGACGCCAUAGAGGGCGAGAGCCCCGUCUGGUCGGACACCAAGCCUCUAUAAAGCUCCUUCGAC